This 300-nucleotide ribosomal RNA is filed under the name Triticum aestivum (bread wheat). RNAcentral's name for it is "partial small subunit ribosomal RNA". Lineage: Eukaryota; Viridiplantae; Streptophyta; Magnoliopsida; Poales; Poaceae. The record is from RNAcentral.
AUGUAUUAUGAUUUCGUUGCAGGCAGCAGUUCUUCCUGUACCGGUGCUGCAGCGGAAUUGCCUGCUCAUCUUGAUGGAGUGGCUGCUGAAGCUUCUGGCGCUGCUAGCCAGCGCCAUGAGCUCCCUGAAGGUGUCUUUACGCCAGCAAAGGAUGUGUUGGUGACUUUCCCUUCAUUACCUUUUGAACUGUGUCCACGCCAGAUUUCCAGUUCGUCUGAAGCACUGCUCUUAUACAUAUGUUGUUAUUACAGGAAACCUAGACGCAGAAUGAACAUGUUGAUGAUACAUCAGAGUGAGUGA